RNAcentral lists this ribosomal RNA (466 nucleotides) under uncultured bacterium. RNAcentral describes it as "bacterial SSU rRNA". It matches the Rfam family "Bacterial small subunit ribosomal RNA", at positions 335 to 793 of the family's 1533-position model. The record is from RNAcentral.
AUCCUACGGGAGGCAGCAGUGGGGAAUAUUGCACAAUGGGCGCAAGCCUGAUGCAGCCAUGCCGCGUGUGUGAAGAAGGCCUUCGGGUUGUAAAGCACUUUCAGUCGUGAGGAAGGUUAGUGUAGUUAAUAGCUGCAUUAUUUGACGUUUAGCGACAGAAGAAGCACCGGCUAACUCCGUGCCAGCAGCCGCGGUAAUACGGAGGGUGCGAGCGUUAAUCGGAAUUACUGGGCGUAAAGCGCAUGCAGGUGGUUUGUUAAGUCAGAUGUGAAAGCCCGGGGCUCAACCUCGGAAUUGCAUUUGAAACUGGCAGACUAGAGUACUGUAGAGGGGGUAGAAUUUCAGGUGUAGCGGUGAAAUGCGUAGAGAUCUGAAGGAAUACCGGUGGCGAAGGCGGCCCCCUGGACAGAUACUGACACUCAGAUGCGAAAGCGUGGGGAGCAAACAGGAUUAGAUACCCUGGUAG